UAGUCACCUCUUGGCAUAUUUACAACCAUAUUUCUAAAUAAGCGAUUUUUUAUAAAGUAUUGGUUUUCUUUCUGAUUAUAACCUUUAACUGAGGGGUGAAGAUAUAAUGUUCUUACUUAUUUCUCCAAUUCACACACAUACAUUCUGUCCUGAUUGUCUCAUAUAUAAUUUCUACUUUAAUCUCUAUUCAGCUAAAAUUUGUUUAUUUAUAUUUUAUUUUAUUUUAUUUACUUUACUUAUUUUCAAGAUGGAGUUUCACCAUCACCCAUGCUGGAGAUCAAUGGCACAAUUUUGGCUGACUGCAACCUCUGUCUCCCAGUAGAGAAGGUGUUCUAUCAUGAUGGCCAGGCUGAUCCCAAACUGCUGGCCUCAAGUGAUCCAACUGUCUCAGCCUCCCGAACAUGAAAUUACACUUGUGAUCCACAGUGUCCAGCCAAAAUUUGUUUAUUUUUAACACAGAAUAAAAUAGUGGCUCUGGAACCAACCAAAAAGUAAAUAAGUAAAAUGCACUCAAGAGAUAUGCUUAAAGCAAAUUGGAUACAGCAGAAGAGAUUCGUGAAUAUUAACUAGGUCAGUAAAAAAAAUAUCGUGCUAAUGAGUGAGGAGAAGAAAAGGUGGUAAUACAGGAAAAACAAUAAGAGAGCAAUAGAGCACAGAGAAAAGUCAAACAUGUAACUGAAGUCUGAGAAGGAAAGAGUGGGGUGGAUACUAUACUGGCUGAGAACUUUCCAAAACCAAUAAAGACAUGAAGCCACAUAUGCAGGAAGUUCUUUAAACUCCAAGCAGGAUAUGUGCAAGAAAAUCCACAUGAAAGCAGUCAUCAUUACAUUUCUAAAACCCAAAGAGAAAAUAUUAAAAGCAGACAGGCUCCCUCUCCUUCACACACACAUACACCUUUGAAAGAAACAUUUUGCCUGACAGACGGCUUGUCAACAAAAAUUUUAAAAGCUAGUGCAAAUUACAGUCAUUGGUAUCAGCUUUGGUGCACUAAAAGAAAAUAUCUAUUCACUAAAUUCUGAACACAGGAAUCAUGCAUACUAAAAAGAAAACGGAGCAAUUUUUACUUCUAUGUUACUAGGUUAGCGCAAAAGUAAUUGCAGUAUUUGCCAUUGAAAGUAAUGGAGGUAGGGCACAGUGGCUUAUGCCUGUAAUCUCAGCGCUUUGGGAGGCCGAAACAGGUGGAUCACUUGAGAGUUCCGAAGUUUGUGACCGGUCUGGCUAACAUACGGAGACCCUG
RNAcentral lists this long non-coding RNA (1237 nucleotides) under Callithrix jacchus (white-tufted-ear marmoset). RNAcentral describes it as "lncRNA (ENSCJAG00000077241.1)". Lineage: Eukaryota; Metazoa; Chordata; Mammalia; Primates; Cebidae. The record is from RNAcentral.